Brienomyrus brachyistius is the source of this 1902-nucleotide long non-coding RNA. RefSeq lists it as uncharacterized. Lineage: Eukaryota; Metazoa; Chordata; Actinopteri; Osteoglossiformes; Mormyridae. The record is from RefSeq and is a predicted model, not a curated record. The transcript has 5 exons.
ACCUUCCGAUAAUCCGUGCAGAACCGGAACGUGCCGUCCGGUUUGGGAACAAGCAGGCACGGGGAACACCAAGGACUACUGCUGGGAACAGCAAGACCCGUCUCUACCAGCAGGGGUACACGAAGGGGUAUCAGCGAACAGGGGUCGGAAGCGAUCCACUAGGGACAAAAUGUCAGCUUGGGCUGACCGAGGAGCGGGGACCGGAACAGAAGCAGGCGCGGGGACGGGGACUGAGCGAUCAAGAGACUGUCAGGCCAAUUCCCUAACUGUAGACAUCCAGUCCCGGAGGGAUUUCACAAACUUGGACAUAUCCUGCGUAGGGGAGGACGCAUCGGGGGACAACCACUGCUCCUGUAACGCCUUCAGGGGACCUCGAACAGUGUGGCCAAAGAUGAGUUCAGCAUGACUAAACCCGGUCGAUUCUUGUACAGCAUCGCGUAUUGCAAAAAGUAGAAGGGGCACUCCCUCAUCCCACUCUCUCCUUGCAUCUAUACAAAAGGUACAAAGCAUAUUUUUGAACGUUUGAUGGAAUCGUUCCAGUGCCCCUUGGCUCUCAGGGUGAUAGGCGCUGGAGACAGUAUGACGUAUUCCUAGCUCGCGAACAACUUGUGCGAAUAACUUCGACAUGAAGUUCGUGCCUUGGUACGAUUGCACACACUUAGGAAGCCCGAAAGUAGUGAAGAACUUGAUUAACUGCUUAACUAUGACGGGGGUCCGGAGACUACAGACAGGAAUAGCUUCCAGGAAACGAGUGGCGGCACACAUGAGGGUGAACAAAUACAUGUUACCUGAACGAGUUUUUGGCAAUGGACCUACGCAAUCAAUCACCACACACUCAAAAGGUUCGCCAAUAGCCGGUACCGGAUGUAAUGGAACCGGUACAAUAGCUUGGUUCGGUUUACCUACCAGCUGACACACCCGACAGGUUUUACAAUAUUUCUUCACUUCCGAAUUAACACCUGGCCAAGAAAAAUAUGCUAAGAGACGGUUUAAUGUUCUUCUAAUUCCAAGAUGCCCUGAACACGGGUGGUCAUGAGCGAGAGACAACACAUAAUUCCGAUAUAACCCGGGGACUACCACCUGAAAUACAGUAGCCCACUCGAAAGUGGAGGUACGACAAGCUUCUAAGGAGAAAUCCUCCGCCUGUGCCUUGAUCAGAGCGGCCGUAGUGGAAGGGACCUCAGGGGAAACAGCAGGUUUCACGGGGACCAGGGAUUCAAAGUCACAUGUCGAAGGAGGUGUUGGGUCGGACAUAAAUGUCUCAGCCAGAUGAAUGUCGGCGAACUUGCUCUGUUGGGCCCGUGUCAGCACACAAGCCAGGAACACCUGGGGUAGUUCUGCGGCAACAUCAUCUGCGCAGAUCUCCGGUUCUGGGGUAACUUCAGGAAGGGGAACCAUCCUCUUCCCCGCAAUGUCAUUCCCUAGGAUGAAUGUGACCCCUGGAACAGGUAACUGGGUCUGGACCGCAACACGAACAAGUCCAGAGAAGUCAGGAGUACAUAAAUAAACAGUAUGCAAAGGAACCACAGCCACACGCAGAUCGAUACCUUGCACCAAUAUGUUGGUGCCACAGUAAGUGGUACUAUCUAAGGGUAAAAUUCCUUCAAUUAAGAAAGACUGGGCAGCUCCCAUAUCCCGUAGGAUAGUUUCCGGGUGACGUACCUCGUCUUCACCGAGCGACACAGAACCAGGAAACACGAAAGGCUGGAAUGUAGGUUCAACAGUUUGAAUUGCCGGUAACACAUUGUUAACACAAGCAGCGAUCUGCACCUUUCUAGUCGCAGCACAGGUCUCUUUACGUUUAAGAGCGGGACAAACGGAAAUGAUGUGACCCACCUCGUGACAAUAGAAACACUCUCUCUUCUCUACAGGUGGUGAAUAAGAAGCGGACGAAGGAGAGGA